Fukomys damarensis (Damara mole-rat) is the source of this 862-nucleotide long non-coding RNA. RefSeq lists it as uncharacterized. The transcript is spliced from 3 exons. The record is from RefSeq and is a predicted model, not a curated record. NCBI's taxonomy places the organism in Eukaryota, Metazoa, Chordata, Mammalia, Rodentia, Bathyergidae.
CUCGUGGCCACGCGCGAGGGGACUCACCAAUAAGAAUGGGCUUCGCGCCACGCCCCUCCCCGCUGCCUCCUUCUGCAAACUGGCGACCCCGGUUACUUGGCCGCGGAGCUCCCUAGGGAGAUCGGUUUCCGUCAGGCGAGAUGAAUAGGAAAACGUUACUUUUGCUGUGUUUCCUCAAUGACUUUCAAGUUAAGGAAGCACCUAAGCAUUUCUAUUUUAGAUUUAUGGAGGUUGAGAAGUACAUCCUCCAUUGCCUUUCUAAGCAAGAACUUUCAGAAUCUAUCUUCUCACGACGAAGAAAGGUGCAAAGAAAACACAGCGAGAGCACCCAAGGUGUUAAAAAAAAAAAAAAAACCUAACAAAACCCUGGCUUUUCACACUGGCAGUCCGGAUUCAAACUCAGUCGUAACUCCCGCUUACCAGCAGGGUAGGCUUGAGUACAUUUGCCCUCUUUGGCCUCCGUGAGCUUAUUUGUGAUACGAAGAUCGUGGAUGAGGAGAAUCAUAAACAUCAGUGUGGAGGAUCAAACGCAGGGCCUUUCCUUGAGCUUGGUAGUGAUGCCUCAGGCUACCUUGGCUGCAACAGACAUCCCACCUGGCUUUUCUGGAGGACCUGGGAGAGACACCACUUUCCAGGCUUCCUAGGACUGCUGUCUCCUCUCUUCUGGAGCAAAGACAGUCCCCUGCUGCUGCUGUUGCCUUAAGUAGAAUGUAACAGGCUUCAGUUCACACCAACAACUCAGGCUUCCCUGCCAAAAUUCAUUCCAUGCUGUUGGAAAAACUCCACCCCUGGUACAUUCCUGUGGCAAAGAACAUGACUACUUGAUAGCAGAUUCCAAACUUUUUGAUAAUGCACAUUUCCC